RNAcentral lists this transfer RNA (69 nucleotides) under Adelophryne gutturosa (Guiana Shield frog). RNAcentral describes it as "tRNA-Val". The record is from RNAcentral. Lineage: Eukaryota; Metazoa; Chordata; Amphibia; Anura; Eleutherodactylidae.
CAGAAUAUAGCUUAUUAAGCACUUUGCUUACACCAAGGAGAUGCCUGCUAACAUCAGACUAUUCUGAAG